Molecule: ribosomal RNA, 556 nt
Filed under: uncultured bacterium
Lineage: Bacteria
Description: partial 16S ribosomal RNA
Rfam family: Bacterial small subunit ribosomal RNA
Source: RNAcentral
UAGGGAAUCUUCCACAAUGGACGCAAGUCUGAUGGAGCAACGCCGCGUGAGUGAAGAAGGUUUUCGGACCGUAAAGCCCUGUUGUUGGUGAAGAAGGAUAGAGGUAGUAACUGGCCUUUAUUUGACGGUAAUCAACCAGAAAGUCACGGCUAACUACGUGCCAGCAGCCGCGGUAAUACGUAGGUGGCAAGCGUUGUCCGGAUUUAUUGGGCGUAAAGCGAGCGCAGGCGGAAGAAUAAGUCUGAUGUGAAAGCCCUCGGCUUAACCGAGGAAUUGCAUCGGAAACUGUUUUCUUGAGUGCAGAAGAGGAGAGUAGAACUCCAUGUGUAGCGGUGGAAUGCGUAGAUAUAUGGAAGAAUACCAGUGGCGAAGGCGGCUCUCUGGUCUGCAACUGACGCUGAGGCUCGAAAAGCAUGGGUAGCGAACAGGAUUAGAUACCCUGGUAGUCCAUGCCGUAAAACGAUGAGUGCUAAGUGUUGGGAGGCUUCCGCCUCUCAGUGCUGCAGCUAACGCAUUAAGCACUCCGCCUGGGGGAGUACGACCGCAAGGUUGAAAC